Molecule: long non-coding RNA, 617 nt
Organism: Cotesia glomerata
Lineage: Eukaryota; Metazoa; Arthropoda; Insecta; Hymenoptera; Braconidae
Exons: 3
Source: RefSeq, a predicted model, not a curated record
UAAUUUUUUGUGUGAAUGUGUUUGUGUUGGAAAUCAUAUUCAGUUAAGACGCCGGUGGAAGGGGUAAGGUAUUUCUGAACACAAUACAAAUCAUAAAAGCUCGAUGACACGUUGCCUGCAGUCACGUUGCUUCAGUUGUUUCUUGACCGGUAAUCCGUCAACAUGCUCUAUUAGUGUGCUUAUUAUUGCGUGUUUUAUUAACCAGUGUAUUAUUUCAAAAGUGUUUCUACAUUUUAAUAAGCAUAAGAAUUUUACAAAGAUUUUUUCUAAAAUAUAUAAAACUGAAUUUCUAUCGAAGAAAUUUAAAUCACAGUAAAAAACUGUUGUAAAAAUUGAUAAAGGACGAGAGACGAGAUAUUUGCCUACAUAAAAUUGAUAGCUGAAAAUAAAUUUGAUACGAUUCCGUUCGCCUUGACACACAACUAUGACAAAAUUCCGUUGCCACCUAAUAAAAACAAGCAAUAUUUUGUUCAUUAUAAGAAUGAGGAACCAAAAUUAGCUGUGCUCAUUAAUGUUGAAGAAACAAUUACGGAGUUAGAGAAGCUAAUUGCAAGCAGAAGGAUUAUAGUUCCAACUUUUCGAAAUCAGGAAACAGCUUCAGAGAUGAGUGACAUUAA